Molecule: ribosomal RNA, 301 nt
Filed under: uncultured bacterium
Lineage: Bacteria
Description: partial 16S ribosomal RNA
Rfam family: Bacterial small subunit ribosomal RNA
Source: RNAcentral
CAGUCGCCGCGGUAAUACGUAGGGUGCAAGCGUUAAUCGGAAUUACUGGGCGCAAAGCGUGCGCAGGCGGUUCGUUAAGACAGAUGUGAAAUCCCCGGGCUUAACCUGGGAACUGCAUUUGUGACUGGCGAGCUAGAGUAUGGCAGAGGGGGGUAGAAUUCCACGUGUAGCAGUGAAAUGCGUAGAGAUGUGGAGGAACACCGAUGGCGAAGGCAGCCCCCUGGGCCAAUACUGACGCUCAUGCACGAAAGCGUGGGGAGCAAACAGGAUUAGAUACCCCGGUAGUCCCUGUCUCUUAUAC